This is a long non-coding RNA of Canis lupus familiaris (dog), 448 nucleotides long. RefSeq lists it as uncharacterized. NCBI's taxonomy places the organism in Eukaryota, Metazoa, Chordata, Mammalia, Carnivora, Canidae. The transcript has 3 exons. The record is from RefSeq and is a predicted model, not a curated record.
CAACAUCAGAAUUCUAGGGCAAAAUUCUACAACUAAGUAUGUUCCUUUGGCAACACGGAAGAACAUGGACACUGAGACAAAUACUUGGUUGGACACAGAGUAAACUAAGAAUGAGAAGCUCAAACUGAGAACUUGAAAUGCUUACCUUUCGACAAUGACUGUAAAUGUAGCCUUCCACAUCUACACUAACCGCACUGGUACAUUCAUCCAAAAUGGCAAACUGGGGUUUAUGAUAAAAUAAUCUUGCCAUCUGAAGCAUAAAAAGAAAUAUUCUGUGUAAGCACAUGCAGAAAUUAAUAAGGUAAUACUGCAAUGAAGCAGAAGCAGUGAGCAAAUUUAUGCAUAAGUGAGAAAUGUUUCCAUGGACCAGAUUCUUGGAAGUGUGUGUGUGUGUGUGUGUGUGUGUGUAAUAAAUAUUUACAAGUACCACACCACUUGUUCUGCAAUG